CCUACGGGAGGCAGCAGUGGGGAAUAUUGCACAAUGGGGGAAACCCUGAUGCAGCGACGCCGCGUGAGUGAAGAAGUAUUUCGGUAUGUAAAGCUCUAUCAGCAGGGAAGAUAAUGACGGUACCUGACUAAGAAGCCCCGGCUAACUACGUGCCAGCAGCCGCGGUAAUACGUAGGGGGCAAGCGUUAUCCGGAUUUACUGGGUGUAAAGGGAGCGUAGGUGGCAGGGCAAGUCAGAUGUGAAAACCCGGGGCUCAACCCCGGGAGUGCAUUUGAAACUGUCCAGCUGGAGUGCAGGAGAGGUAAGCGGAAUUCCUAGUGUAGCGGUGAAAUGCAUAGAUAUUAGGAGGAACACCAGUGGCGAAGGCGGCUUACUGGACUGUAACUGACACUGAGGCUCGAAAGCGUGGGGAGCAAACAGGAUUAGAUACCCCAGUAGUC
This 440-nucleotide ribosomal RNA is filed under the name uncultured bacterium. RNAcentral's name for it is "partial 16S ribosomal RNA". It matches the Rfam family "Bacterial small subunit ribosomal RNA", at positions 338 to 795 of the family's 1533-position model. The record is from RNAcentral.